Molecule: ribosomal RNA, 256 nt
Filed under: uncultured bacterium
Lineage: Bacteria
Description: partial 16S ribosomal RNA
Rfam family: Bacterial small subunit ribosomal RNA
Source: RNAcentral
CGGACGGGUGAGUAACGCGUGGGUAACCUGCCCUGUACAGGGGGAUAACAAUCAGAAAUGACUGCUAAUACCGCAUAAGACCACAGCACCGCAUGGUGCAGGGGUAAAAACUCCGGUGGUACAGGAUGGACCCGCGUCUGAUUAGCUGGUUGGUGAGGUAACGGCUCACCAAGGCGACGAUCAGUAGCCGGCUUGAGAGAGUGAACGGCCACAUUGGGACUGAGACACGGCCCAAACUCCUACGGGAGGCAGCAUG